This is a long non-coding RNA of Macrobrachium nipponense, 2803 nucleotides long. RefSeq lists it as uncharacterized. The record is from RefSeq and is a predicted model, not a curated record. The transcript is spliced from 5 exons. Lineage: Eukaryota; Metazoa; Arthropoda; Malacostraca; Decapoda; Palaemonidae.
CAGCCUUCUCCUCUUCAGUGUCAGAGGCAUUAGGGUCUUCCUCCUCAUCGCUAGGCAAGUCGCUCGCCCCCUCGUGGGUCAUUGUGGCCACCAGAGUGCCAACUGCCUUCCCCAGGUCGCCUGAUAAAGGAGAUAGAGACAGCAGCAUUGAAGUUGGGUUGUGACAGUUUUUCAUCUGUUGAGGAUAAACACGCGAUUUAAAAAAAUAAGAAACCACAAUCACUUAGAAACAGUACUGCUGCAUCUAGAAUAUUUAGGUGAAGAUGAAAAGGUUCCCAGAAAUAACAAAAUUAUUGUUAAAAUUUUGAGUCUGUGAGAUACUAAACAUGGUAAAUUGAACGUUGACUAACUUGACUCAUUUACGUAGUGUACUCUAUACUAAACACAUGCGAGGUGUAUAAGGCACUUCCAAUUGGCUCGACUGCUGCAUUGGAAAAGGCGAGAUCCUCUGAGGGCUGUGAUUAAGUGUUCCGUUCCUGACUACACCAGCACUGCAAUGUGAGAUGAAAAGGGACGAACGUGAUGACACCCCUCAAGACCCUGUCUACUGUCCAGAGUCCCCACUCAUCCUCCAUCCCCAGAAGAGUAUACCCCAAUCAGCUGAUUUCCUUUCACUCAUACAAUACCUGGUGAAAUCACGAUUCGAGGAUCGUGCCUGGAUUGGACAAGAGGAGGAAGAAGAAGAGAAGAAAAUGGGCAGCUACAGUGCCUUUCUACAAAUCGCCCCUCCUCAUAUAGGAAGCCCCAGUGCAUGUCCUUUGACAUUUGCAGCUCUUGCCUCACUACCAGUGUGUGUCACAUUCCCAUCAGUACUCCCUCCACAGAAAGUAAUUACUAAGAUGCAACUUUUCAAAAAUUUUGGGAAUGGUAACAUAUUCAUGGAAUCAUGGAAUGAUUAUUCAGUUAUGGUAACUGACCAAGUUACCAAGAGAGAAGCAAUUACUCCAGAUGAGGAUGUGUUACCUUGGAGACACAAGGAUCCCCCAAGCACACCAUAUAGACAUGACACCAGAUUGUCUUGAAUCCCCUUCAAGUACACAAAAAUGCUUUGCAGCAAGAAUCUUUGAUGAAGGAGCUGCUCACCUGUAAACAGUUAGUGGGAGGGGGUUUUCACUAGACUCAAGAACGUGGCAGAGGAAGUAGAAGUCUGUCCCAGAAAAUCUUCUCUGCCUGCGAGCAAACAAAGAUAAUCAUCCUCAUGGGGAUUUAGAACUGAUUGAGAAACGUGUAGCCAUCGACACCAACCCUCUAGGCUACAUUAUCAACACUGUUGCAUCUAGGAGGGCACUUCUGCUUCUCGUCCUCAUGGGGAUUUAGGGAUGAAGAGCUGACUGAGAAACUUGUAGCCCUCAACACCAACACCCUUCUACACCAUUAUCAACACUUGUCGCACCUAUGAGGGCACUUCUGUCUCUUGUGCCCUCUCAAACUAUAGGAAGCAGAAGAUAAUGGAAAGGGUGCCACCCCUACUACACCAUCACAGAUUGUUUCAUGCCACUGCACAAACAGAUCCACAGAGAAGUAUCAGCAGCAACUGUGAUUACAAGGGGUUCUUGGUCAAGUCACUGCCAGAUAGGUUCAGUACCGCCACUACAACUGACAUGGACAAUAUGACAAGUGCUGUUGGAAGAAAACAGGAGGCCACUUCCAUUGCGCAGCCUAUACCACACACUCGAGGCAAGAACCCCAGCUGUUAUUGGAUGGUUGGCCCACCCCUUCUCUCAAGACUCCAUCCAAUCUCCAUUUCCCUCUUGUAUGGUGAAGUCUCAUCGAGGAUUUGGAUGUUACCAGACACAGCACUGAUGUCUUUGAUAUGGGCCCCCGCCAUCUUGACCUGGACAUUCCUAAGAGUGCAUUACAACCCUAACAGUUAGUCCAGUGUUCACCACAGAUGGCUUUACAAUGACACCUUUGGAUGGUGAAAUCACAUCCAAGAUUUAGACAUUACCAGUCACAGAUGCUGAUGUCUGUUACAACCCCCACCAGUUAGUCCAGUGUUCACCACAGACAGCACUACCAUGACACCUGCCUUAUGAUUUUUCACAACCACUCUCACCUUGAACUGUCCUGUUCAGUGAAGGAUUCUCAAGUCCAUGAAAGUAUCUGAACAUCAUUGUAAAGAGUUGGCCAUUAUUCUGUCAGUCUCUCCCAGACCUAUUCCAUAUGAAAAUAUGUCAAUAGCUUGUCUCCUAGUAAGAGCUCAAGACGAUGGAAAAACAGAUAAUGCGAAUCUAUUCUCAGGAGGAGGAAAUACCUUUCGCCACCAUUGCACCUUGCUAGAUAUGUACCACAUACCUACCGGGAACAAGUCGAGGCAGAACUUGAGCUCAACCUCGGUCAUUCUCACAGGAAUGGCUUGAGAAAGCUCUAGACCGCAUUCACUGUGCUGCUGCCAGAGUCAGACUUGUACAAAGGUUGUACAAGUGACAUGUGCGAUCUACACAGGCUAGAUCAUCAUGAAAGGCUGGUCAGGCAACUAUGAAGUACUGUUUCCCCAGGGGACAAGUAUGCUGGAGGAACUGGCUAUUCCUGUAUCCAGUACCAACACAUGGUUUUUUAGCCCGUUAAUCCACUUAUGCUGCUGUAAAAAUCUGGGUUAACAGCACUGUGAGCCCAGCUGUAGUCCUGAACGAUGUAACAGCAACUGUAUUCUUUUGCCUCAGGUGUGCAUCAUUAAGUGGCAACUGAACACAUUCAAAUCCAAUGCUUGGCAGUAUACACCGCUUCCCCUCCCGAGUUUGGUUGCUCAAAUGUAAAGUCCUUUUUGCAAUGUAGCGGUACCUAAUAAACAACCUACAUUUUA